CACGUAGGUGGCAAGCGUUGUCCGGAUUUACUGGGCGUAAAGAGCGCGCAGGCGGUCGGAUAAGUCGAAUGUGAAAGCCCCCGGCUCAACUGGGGAGGGUCAUUCGAUACUGUUCGACUCGAAGGCAGGAGAGGGAAGUGGAAUUCCCGGUGUAGUGGUGAAAUGCGUAGAUAUCGGGAGGAACACCAGUGGCGAAGGCGACUUCCUGGCCUGUUCUUGACGCUGAGGCGCGAAAGCUAGGGGAGCAAACGGG
RNAcentral lists this ribosomal RNA (253 nucleotides) under uncultured bacterium. Its description in RNAcentral is "partial 16S ribosomal RNA". It matches the Rfam family "Bacterial small subunit ribosomal RNA", at positions 524 to 776 of the family's 1533-position model. The record is from RNAcentral.